This 402-nucleotide ribosomal RNA is filed under the name Aliivibrio fischeri SR5. RNAcentral's name for it is "bacterial SSU rRNA". It matches the Rfam family "Bacterial small subunit ribosomal RNA", at positions 1132 to 1533 of the family's 1533-position model. Lineage: Bacteria; Pseudomonadati; Pseudomonadota; Gammaproteobacteria; Vibrionales; Vibrionaceae. The record is from RNAcentral.
UGGGAGCUCCAGGGAGACUGCCGGUGAUAAACCGGAGGAAGGUGGGGACGACGUCAAGUCAUCAUGGCCCUUACGAGUAGGGCUACACACGUGCUACAAUGGCGCAUACAGAGGGCUGCAAGCUAGCGAUAGUGAGCGAAUCCCAAAAAGUGCGUCGUAGUCCGGAUUGGAGUCUGCAACUCGACUCCAUGAAGUCGGAAUCGCUAGUAAUCGUAGAUCAGAAUGCUACGGUGAAUACGUUCCCGGGCCUUGUACACACCGCCCGUCACACCAUGGGAGUGGGCUGCAAAAGAAGUGGGUAGUUUAACCUUCGGGAGGACGCUCACCACUUUGUGGUUCAUGACUGGGGUGAAGUCGUAACAAGGUAGCCCUAGGGGAACCUGGGGCUGGAUCACCUCCUUA